UACGUAGGAGGCGAGCGUUGUCCGGAGUUACUGGGCGUAAAGCGCACGCAGGCGGUCAGAUCAGUCUGGAGUGACAGUCUCGGCUUAACCGACGAAGUGUUCUGGAAACUGUCUGACUUGAGGGCUUCAGAGGGACACGGAAUUCCGGGUGGAGUGGUGAAAUGCGUGAGGAGAUCCGGAGGAACACCAAAGGCGAAGGCAGUGUCCCGGGGAGUACCUGACGCUCAGGU
This 230-nucleotide ribosomal RNA is filed under the name uncultured bacterium. Its description in RNAcentral is "partial 16S ribosomal RNA". It matches the Rfam family "Bacterial small subunit ribosomal RNA", at positions 524 to 752 of the family's 1533-position model. The record is from RNAcentral.